GUGUCAGCCGCCGCGGUAAUACGUAGGUGGCAAGCGUUGUCCGGAUUUAUUGGGUUUAAAGGGUGCGUAGGCGGCCCUGUAAGUCAGUGCUGAAAUAUCCCGGCUUAACCGGGAGGGUGGCAUUGAUACUGCGGGGCUAGAGUACAGAUGAGGUAGGCGGAAUUGACGGUGUAGCGGUGAAAUGCUUAGAUAUCGUCAAGAACACCUAUAGCGAAGGCAGCUUACUAGGCUGUAACUGACGCUGAGGCACGAAAGUGUGGGGAUCAAACAGGAUUAGAAACCCCUGUAGUCC
This 292-nucleotide ribosomal RNA is filed under the name uncultured bacterium. Its description in RNAcentral is "partial 16S ribosomal RNA". It matches the Rfam family "Bacterial small subunit ribosomal RNA", at positions 505 to 796 of the family's 1533-position model. The record is from RNAcentral.